RNAcentral lists this long non-coding RNA (1744 nucleotides) under Setaria italica (foxtail millet). RNAcentral describes it as "long non-coding RNA (SITA_LNC001454)". Lineage: Eukaryota; Viridiplantae; Streptophyta; Magnoliopsida; Poales; Poaceae. The record is from RNAcentral.
CUCCCUCUCUCCAAUUUCUAGUUUUUUCUGUUCUUCCCUCCGAAGAACAGACACCCGUCGAUCUUCUCCACCAAGCCACCUUAGUUAAAUAGCUUCCACGGUAAGCACCUCCAUACCAUACUAUGCAUUCUCCAAGCCACGCUUCCCUUUAUCCCUACCUGUACCGAGCCAAUCGUGAUCUCCAGAGACGCGACAAUGGCCAUCCAUGGCCGACCUCCUUCCACCUCCUCUCCCAUGCUGGGAACUCCCUGAACGGAAUCCCCAUCCACUCCUCUCUCUACCCGUACCCUCAUAUUCGAAAACGGUGGCCGGUAGCGCCGUUCCGGCAAGGCUCCAGUGAGCUCGAGCCGCGGCCAUGGCUGCGCUGGGAAAGGGGACGACGUCCUGUUCCCGUACCCCUCUCUCCUGUGUUAUCCUUUUACACCAGCUGAGCCCCCACAUAAACCACACUACAGCCCAUAAAACCACGCCACCUCAAGCCUAUUACGUGCUAAUAAAGGCCCGUAAGCAUCCUCCUAAUUAUGUCAUUUUAUUUUCGAAAUAAAACCAUCAGCUAAGCAAACGCCAUAUCUCAUCCAUCCAAGCUCCGAUCGACUUGAUUCUUCCUUCUAAAUUCAAAACCUAUCCAUCCAUACUAAUUUCCUAAUUUUCAGAGUUCAUUUGAAUUUAUAUUUAUUUGUGCUUGUGUUGCUCUGUUUUACGCGUGUUAGCUGACGGAGAGUUCGUAGCUGACGAAGAAGAAGAGCCAGUGUUAGCUGACGGAGAGUUCGUAGCUGACGAAGAAGAAGAGCUAGGAGUUGAGUUCAGUGAGCUGGAGCCUGGAGCGUGAGAGUUUUAAGCAGCAGUUACCUGAAGGCUUCGAAGAAGGCAAGCCCAACCUAUUCCUUUGAUCAUAUUCAUCCCAGAUUUCCUGAAGGCUUCGAAGAAGGCAAGCCCAACCUAUUCCCUAUGAUCAUAUUCAUCCCAGAUUUCAAACACAACCCGUAGAAGUCAUUUUACAAAUUACAUCCAGUUAUAUAUGACCAAAUUAUUUUACUAUUGAUAUAGCUAAAACGGAUAGCCACUUCUUAAUUGAUAUAUCUUAAUUAUACCUUGAUAACUUAAGGAUUUAUCGUUAGACAUGAUACGCACACUCAAUAUCAAUACUUGUUUUGCAAAUUCAACUGUUUUACAAAAUAGAAAAUGUGUUAGGUAUACCGCAAGACACCUCUAUCUCCCAAGUUCUAAUCCAAUGUUAUCUUCACCAGCUUAACAAGAUCUUAAAAGAGGUGUGGUACUUCUCCCAAGAGGGAGAACAGCCUUUGAAGAGUAUCAGGCCGUUCGGCAGAGCUAGAAGCCGCUGCCGCUGCUGGCUUCUGCUGCCAGCAGCUGCAGCGCAGCUUCUAGCUGCUGCUUGCGGCUUGUAACAGUGGCUAACGGCCGUUUGGACGACUGAAACUCCAAACUUUAGUUAGUCCUGUUACCAAAACAAUUUAUCCACUAAACAAUUUAGCAAGUCUCAUUUGCCUAUUUUUUUUUAUAGAAUGAAACUAUUGUCAGGCGUGGGACUACAAAUCAUUCGGGAAUUGUUGAGAAUUAAAAAAUAUAAGGUUGUUAAGAUUACAUAAAAUAAAUUGUUUCCCUACCGAUGGGAGCGAGGGAGCGGUGACAGCUUAUCCUUAGCAAUUUUCGGUCUGUUUUCCCUACGGAUGCGCUGCUACAUUUGAAAAUUAAAUUUCUAACGGUAAAAGGAACUACAACAUUU